AGACAGCAGUAGCCGCGGUAACACGGAGGGUGCAAGCGUUAAUCGGAAUUACUGGGCGUAAAGCGCACGCAGGCGGUUUGUUAAGUCAGAUGUGAAAUCCCCGAGCUUAACUUGGGAACUGCAUUUGAAACUGGCAAGCUAGAGUCUUGUAGAGGGGGGUAGAAUUCCAGGUGUAGCGGUGAAAUGCGUAGAGAUCUGGAGGAAUACCGGUGGCGAAGGCGGCCCCCUGGACAAAGACUGACGCUCAGGUGCGAAAGCGUGGGGAGCAAACAGGAUUAGAUACCCCGGUAGUCCCUGUCUCUUAUAU
This 307-nucleotide ribosomal RNA is filed under the name uncultured bacterium. RNAcentral's name for it is "partial 16S ribosomal RNA". It matches the Rfam family "Bacterial small subunit ribosomal RNA", at positions 506 to 809 of the family's 1533-position model. The record is from RNAcentral.